GAUUUGGUAGCUCAGCUGGUAGAGCAUCUCACUUUUAAUGAGAGGGUCCUGGGUUCGAGCCCCAGCCAGAUCA
RNAcentral lists this transfer RNA (73 nucleotides) under Flavobacteriales bacterium. Its description in RNAcentral is "tRNA-Lys". It matches the Rfam family "tRNA". From Rfam's summary of the family: Transfer RNA (tRNA) molecules are approximately 80 nucleotides in length. Their secondary structure includes four short double-helical elements and three loops (D, anti-codon, and T loops). The record is from RNAcentral. Lineage: Bacteria; Pseudomonadati; Bacteroidota; Flavobacteriia; Flavobacteriales. RNAcentral also lists the same sequence under 1 other name.